CCUACGGGGGGCAGCAGUGGGGAAUAUUCCACAAUGGGGGAAACCCUGAUGCAGCGACGCCGCGUGAGUGAAGAAGUAAUUCGUUAUGUAAAGCUCUAUCAGCAGAGAAGAAAAUGACGGUACCUGAGUAAGAAGCCCCGGCUAACUACGUGCCAGCAGCCGCGGUAAUACGUAGGGGGCAAGCGUUAUCCGGAUUUACUGGGUGUAGAGGGAGCGUAGACGGCAGUGCAAGUCUGGAGUGAAAGGGGGGGGCUCAACCCCCGGACGGCUCUGGAAACUGUACGGCUGGAGUGCAGGAGAGGUGAGUGGAAUUCCAAGUGUAGCGGUGAAAUGUGUAGAUAUUAGGAGGAACACCAGUGGCGAAGGCGGCUUACUGGACUGUAACUGACGUUGAGGCUCGAAAGCGUGGGGAGCAAACAGGAUUAGAUACCCCUGUAGUC
Molecule: ribosomal RNA, 440 nt
Filed under: uncultured bacterium
Lineage: Bacteria
Description: partial 16S ribosomal RNA
Rfam family: Bacterial small subunit ribosomal RNA
Source: RNAcentral